ACGAACGCUGGCGGCGUGCUUCACACCUGCCAGUCGAACGCUGAAGCUCAGCUUUUGUUGGGUGGAUGAGUGGCGAACGGGUGAGUAACACGUGAGUAACCUGCCCCCUUCUUUGGGGUAACGCCCGGAAACGGGUGCUAAUACUGGAUAUUCACUGGUCUUCGCAUGGGGGUUGGUGGAAAGGGUUUUUCUGGUGGGGGAUGGGCUCGCGGCCUAUCAGCUUGUUGGUGGGGUGAUGGCCUACCAAGGCUUUGACGGGUAGCCGGCCUGAGAGGGUGACCGGUCACAUUGGGACUGAGAUACGGCCCAGACUCCUACGGGAGGCAGCAGUGGGGAAUAUUGCACAAUGGGCGCAAGCCUGAUGCAGCGACGCCGCGUGAGGGAUGGAGGCCUUCGGGUUGUGAACCUCUUUCGCUCAUGGUCAAGCCGCAACAAUGGUUGUGGUGAGGGUAGUGGGUAAAGAAGCGCCGGCUAACUACGUG
Molecule: ribosomal RNA, 482 nt
Filed under: uncultured bacterium
Lineage: Bacteria
Description: partial 16S ribosomal RNA
Rfam family: Bacterial small subunit ribosomal RNA
Source: RNAcentral